GGAUGCUACAAGGAAAAUCUUUGCAUUUGGUGACAGACUAUAAACAAAACUCUUCACACUUUUGGGCUGGAAGGGAGAGUACUCAAGCUUCUCUCCUGAGAAAUGUUGGCCCAAUUCAGAUUGGCACCAGUUCGUGUAGGGAAGUACUGGCAAUUUCUGGUGGGGAGAAGAUACGGAGGAACUGUAUAGAAGUAGAUACACUAAAAAGAAUAGAAGAAAAAAGGAAAAAUAAUUUUCUUCUUGUGAUAAGGCAACAUGAACAAUUACUUUUGCGAUAUGCUCAUAUCUUACAGUAAAGAUUGGGAUUAUUCUGCAAAUAUAAGAAUACUGAUGAAAAGAAUACACCUCUAGACAUAAUACAUGGGAUCAAAAGAGAGCAAGAGAGGAGGAAACACUGGAGAAGGGGAAGGAGAAGGAAAGAAGGAAGGAAGGAAGGAAGAAGGAAGGAAGGAAGGAAGGAAGGAAAGAAGGAAAGAAGGAAAGAAGGAAAGAAGGAAAGAAACAAACGAGGAAAAUCUACCUGGGAGCAGAAUAGAAAUUUUCCUUAGCCACACUCAACUAUACAUUUGCAUUACUUUCUACGCUUGAUCUUAACCAAAAGGCUAAGAAGUAAUUGCAUCAAUUUCUUAUAUUUAAUAUCAGACCUGUACCGUAUAAUACAAAUGGUUGUUUAUAAUUAUGUGGUUAACUAUGUAGAGUUAUACAGAACUUUAAUUUCAUUAUAUUAAUCUCAAUUAUAAUUUUACUGUAUAUAACAUGAAUAAUUGAAUUAAAGAACAGAUUAUGGUAGCAUUAUGUAUUAGCUUAGACCAGGUAGGGUUUCCUAACUGAUAAAAGAACUAUUCUGCAUGAACUGUUGGCAAUAUUGGUAAAAAUACCUUUCUGGGAUAUUAUCUUAAACAGUCUUUCUAUCCUGAAGUGCCAAAGGAAUUUGGGUUUAAUCCACUGGGAAAUAGGAAACCAAUGAAAGACUUUAAGAAUGUAAGUGGCAUACUGGGUAUUAUACUAUAUGUUGCAAAUUGAAUUUAAAUAAAAUAUUUUUUUAAAAAAACA
Molecule: long non-coding RNA, 1053 nt
Filed under: Vulpes vulpes (red fox)
Lineage: Eukaryota; Metazoa; Chordata; Mammalia; Carnivora; Canidae
Description: lncRNA (ENSVVUG00000029997.1)
Source: RNAcentral